GACGAACGCUGGCGGCGUGCUUAACACAUGCAAGUCGAACGGAAAGGCCCUGCUUUUGUGGGGUGCUCGAGUGGCGAACGGGUGAGUAACACGUGAGUAACCUGCCCUUGACUUUGGGAUAACUUCAGGAAACUGGGGCUAAUACCGGAUAGGAGCUCCUGCUGCAUGGUGGGGGUUGGAAAGUGUCGGCGGUUGGGGCUGGACGCGCGGCUUAUCAGCUUGUUGGUGGGGUAGUGGCUUACCAAGGCUUUGACGGGUAGCCGGCCUGAGCGGGUGAGCGGCAACAUUGGGACUGAGAUAGGGCCCAGACGCCUACGGGAGGCAGCAGUGGGGAAUAGUGCACAAUGGGCGGAAGCCUGAUGCAGCAACGCCGCGUGCGGGAUGACGGCCUUCGGGUUGUAAACCGCUUUCGCCUGUGACGAAGCGGGAGUGACGGUAAUGGGUAAAGAAGCACCGGCUAACUACGUG
This 468-nucleotide ribosomal RNA is filed under the name uncultured bacterium. Its description in RNAcentral is "partial 16S ribosomal RNA". It matches the Rfam family "Bacterial small subunit ribosomal RNA", at positions 28 to 507 of the family's 1533-position model. The record is from RNAcentral.